Molecule: ribosomal RNA, 493 nt
Filed under: uncultured bacterium
Lineage: Bacteria
Description: partial 16S ribosomal RNA
Rfam family: Bacterial small subunit ribosomal RNA
Source: RNAcentral
AUUGAACGCUGGCGGCAUGCUUUACACAUGCAAGUCGAACGGUAACAGGUUAAGCUGACGAGUGGCGAACGGGUGAGUAAUGCAUCGGAACGUGCCCGAUCGUGGGGGAUAACGUAGCGAAAGCUGCGCUAAUACCGCAUACGAUCUGAGGAUGAAAGCGGGGGACCGUAAGGCCUCGCGCGAUCGGAGCGGCCGAUGUCAGAUUAGGUAGUUGGUGGGGUAAAGGCCCACCAAGCCGACGAUCUGUAGCUGGUCUGAGAGGACGACCAGCCACACUGGGACUGAGACACGGCCCAGACUUCUACGGGAGGCAGCAGUGGGGAAUUUUGGACAAUGGGCGAAAGCCUGAUCCAGCAAUGCCGCGUGCAGGAAGAAGGCCUUCGGGUUGUAAACUGCUUUUGUACGGAGCGAAAAGGUCCUUUCUAAUACAAGGGGCUCAUGACGGUACCGUAAGAAUAAGCACCGGCUAACUACGUGCCAGCCGCCGCAGUAA